Molecule: long non-coding RNA, 846 nt
Organism: Anguilla rostrata (American eel)
Lineage: Eukaryota; Metazoa; Chordata; Actinopteri; Anguilliformes; Anguillidae
Exons: 2
Source: RefSeq, a predicted model, not a curated record
AAAAUUGUUAAAGGGAUAUUUUGUGACAUGUUAAGGGGAGCACACAGCACUGCUGUCCACAGAAAUGUCCGCUUUCCAUCAGGGUUAGUGAUGGAAUUUAUCUCACACUGCAAUCAGCAGGUUUAUCCUUUUAGGGCAUGGAUACUCAAAUCUGGACCUCGAAUCCAGAUCCAGCCCUGGUUUCUUUUCCCUCUUGGUAAUUAACAUUGAAACCGACAGCUUUAUGCCGUUUAGGUGUGAGAUCAAAUAUAUGUGCUUGGAUUGUGCUUAACUGAAAGUCAAUAUAAAGUCAUUCUGAGUGAUCACCUUUAUCCUGUGAUUAAACAUUUCUGUCCUGAUGGAAGAGGUCUCUUCCAGGAUGACGAUGCCCCCAUCCACAGGGCACGAGGGGUCACUGAAUGGUUUUAUGAAUACUUUGUAUUGGUUUUUCCUUUAAUUUGUCACCCGCCUGUAUAUUCUCAAUCUUAGAAAUUAUUCUUCAGAGAUUUUCUGUUAACAUUUCUUGCAUAGUCAUGUAGACAAUUGGGUCAAAGUUGUCAUUACUGUUUGAGUCAAGUAACUUACCUUAUAUGACAUCAUGUAAUACUAAUGUACAAUAUUUUGUUUCAAAGGGAAUACACAGGGAAUGUGUAUACUGUCAUUUUGCAUUAAUUUUAAAUGCACGCUAACCACUUAACACAAAUAUUAUGUUUAUUUUUUUAACCAAAUGUAUCUAUUUAUGAUAAUUAAUAUCAGGUAACAGGAGAACCUUCAUUCCUGAUCGAGACACACAUUUGUUUUUCAUUUCUCCUUUGGAUUAAAGUAAUUAUUGUCGUGCAACGCAGAAAAUAAAGAAUUUUAAAUAAA